This 485-nucleotide ribosomal RNA is filed under the name Lophodermium pinastri. RNAcentral's name for it is "eukaryotic LSU rRNA". The stretch from base 123 to 276 matches the Rfam family "5.8S ribosomal RNA". The record is from RNAcentral. Lineage: Eukaryota; Fungi; Ascomycota; Leotiomycetes; Rhytismatales; Rhytismataceae.
UAACCGGGCCUUCGGGCCCCUAUUCUCACCCUUUGUCUACCACACUUUGUUGCCUUGGCGCUUCGGCGCCAGUGGAACGAAACCCUGGAAUCAUUGCUGUCUGAGUACUAUAUAAUAGUUAAAACUUUCAACAACGGAUCUCUUGGUUCUGGCAUCGAUGAAGAACGCAGCGAAAUGCGAUAAGUAAUGUGAAUUGCAGAAUUCAGUGAAUCAUCGAAUCUUUGAACGCACAUUGCGCCCUCUGGUAUUCCGGGGGGCAUGCCUGUUCGAGCGUCAUUACAACCCUCAAGCUCUGCUUGGUAUUGGGCUCGCCCUGUAGGGCUUGCCUCAAAAUCAGUGGCGGCCACCGUCCGACCUUCAGCGCAGUAAUGCUCGUCGCUGUGAGGGAGGGCCGAAGCCGUCAGACNNCCCCCACUUUACAAGGUUGACCUCGGAUCAGGUAUGGAUACCCGCUGAACUUAAGCAUAUCANUGAGCGGAGGAAAA